UGAUCCCUGGCUCAGGACGAACGCUGGCGGCGUGCCUAAUACAUGCAAGUCGAGCGGAAUGAUGAAGAAGCUUGCUUCUUCUGAUUUUAGCGGCGGACGGGUGAGUAACACGUGGGCAACCUACCUUGUAGAUUGGGAUAACUCCGGGAAACCGGGGCUAAUACCGAAUAAUCCAUUUUGCUUCAUGGCAAGAUGUUGAAAGGCGGCUUCGGCUGUCACUACGAGAUGGGCCCGCGGCGUAUUAGCUAGUUGGUAGGGUAAUGGCCUACCAAGGCGACGAUACGUAGCCGACCUGAGAGGGUGAUCGGCCACACUGGGACUGAGACACGGCCCAGACUCCUACGGGAGGCAGCAGUAGGGAAUCUUCCACAAUGGACGAAAGUCUGAUGGAGCAACGCCGCGUGAGUGAAGAAGGUUUUCGGAUCGUAAAACUCUGUUGUAAGGGAAGAACACGUACGAGAGUAACUGCUCGUACCUUGACGGUACCUUAUUAGAAAGCCACGGCUAACU
Molecule: ribosomal RNA, 510 nt
Filed under: Sporosarcina sp. CL2.65
Lineage: Bacteria; Bacillati; Bacillota; Bacilli; Caryophanales; Caryophanaceae
Description: bacterial SSU rRNA
Rfam family: Bacterial small subunit ribosomal RNA
Source: RNAcentral